RNAcentral lists this ribosomal RNA (460 nucleotides) under uncultured bacterium. RNAcentral describes it as "partial 16S ribosomal RNA". It matches the Rfam family "Bacterial small subunit ribosomal RNA", at positions 338 to 795 of the family's 1533-position model. The record is from RNAcentral.
CCUACGUGAGGCAGCAGUGAGGAAUAUUGGUCAAUGGGCGCGAGCCUGAACCAGCCAAGUAGCGUGAAGGAUGACUGCCCUACGGGUUGUAAACUUCUUUUAUAAAGGAAUAAAGUGAGGUACGUGUGCCUUUUUGUAUGUACUUUAUGAAUAAGGCUCGGCUAACUCCGUGCCAGCAGCCGCGGUAAUACGGAGGAUCCGAGCGUUAUCCGGAUUUAUUGGGUUUAAAGGGAGCGUAGAGGGGUUGUUAAGUCAGUUGUGAAAGUUUGCGGCUCAACCGUAAAAUUGCAGUUGAUACUGGCAGUCUUGAGUACAGUAGAGGUAUGCGGAAUGCGUGGGGUAGCGGUGAAAUGCUUAGAUAUCACGAAGAACUCCGAUGGCGAAGGCAGCUUACGAAACUGCAACUGACAUUGAUGCACGAAAGUGUGGGUAUCAAACAGGAUUAGAUACCCUGGUAGUC